This 515-nucleotide ribosomal RNA is filed under the name uncultured bacterium. RNAcentral describes it as "partial 16S ribosomal RNA". It matches the Rfam family "Bacterial small subunit ribosomal RNA", at positions 28 to 523 of the family's 1533-position model. The record is from RNAcentral.
GAUGAACGCUGGCGGCGUGCCUAAUACAUGCAAGUCGAGCGAAUGGAUUAAGAGCUUGCUCUUAUGAAGUUAGCGGCGGACGGGUGAGUAACACGUGGGUAACCUGCCCAUAAGACUGGGAUAACUCCGGGAAACCGGGGCUAAUACCGGAUAACAUUUUGAACCGCAUGGUUCGAAAUUGAAAGGCGGCUUCGGCUGUCACUUAUGGAUGGACCCGCGUCGCAUUAGCUAGUUGGUGAGGUAACGGCUCACCAAGGCCACGAUGCGUAGCCGACGGGGGAGGGGGAUCGGCGACACUGGGACUGGGACACGGCCCAGACUCCUACGGGGGGCAGCAGUAGGGAAUCUUCCGCAAUGGACGAAAGUCUGACGGAGCAACGCCGCGUGAGUGAUGAAGGCUUUCGGGUCGUAAAACUCUGUUGUUAGGGAAGAACAAGUGCUAGUUGAAUAAGCUGGCACCUUGACGGUACCUAACCAGAAAGCCACGGCUAACUACGUGCCAGCCGCCGCAGUAA